GCAUUAGUAGCUCAGUAUCAGAGCGCCGGUCUUGUAAACCGGAGUGCAGGGGUUAAACUCCCC
RNAcentral lists this transfer RNA (63 nucleotides) under Branchiostegus albus (white horsehead). Its description in RNAcentral is "tRNA-Thr". It matches the Rfam family "tRNA", at positions 1 to 62 of the family's 71-position model. Rfam says of the family: Transfer RNA (tRNA) molecules are approximately 80 nucleotides in length. Their secondary structure includes four short double-helical elements and three loops (D, anti-codon, and T loops). The record is from RNAcentral. Lineage: Eukaryota; Metazoa; Chordata; Actinopteri; Malacanthidae.